Urocitellus parryii (Arctic ground squirrel) is the source of this 78-nucleotide small RNA. Lineage: Eukaryota; Metazoa; Chordata; Mammalia; Rodentia; Sciuridae. The record is from Ensembl.
GAUUGUUGGUGGUUGGCACUCCUGGCUUCCAGGAUGGGGUGAUACACAUUUAGCCAAGAUCAUCCCCAAGAAACAAUC